RNAcentral lists this transfer RNA (72 nucleotides) under Ladona fulva (scarce chaser). It matches the Rfam family "tRNA". From Rfam's summary of the family: Transfer RNA (tRNA) molecules are approximately 80 nucleotides in length. Their secondary structure includes four short double-helical elements and three loops (D, anti-codon, and T loops). RNAcentral also lists the same sequence under 1 other name. The record is from Rfam by way of RNAcentral. Lineage: Eukaryota; Metazoa; Arthropoda; Insecta; Odonata; Libellulidae.
UCCCAUGUGGUCUAGUGGUUAGGAUAUCUGGCUUUCACCCAGAAGGCCCGGGUUCGAUUCCCGGCAUGGGAA